This 250-nucleotide ribosomal RNA is filed under the name uncultured prokaryote. RNAcentral's name for it is "partial 16S rRNA". It matches the Rfam family "Bacterial small subunit ribosomal RNA", at positions 525 to 775 of the family's 1533-position model. The record is from RNAcentral.
ACGUAGGGGGCGAGCGUUAUCCGGAAUUAUUGGGCGUAAAGAGUGCGAAGGCGGUUCUUUAAGCGGGAGGUGAAAGCCAAUGGCUUAACUAUAGUACGGCUUGCGAACUGGAGAACUUGAGUGCAGGAGAGGUAAGUGGAAUUCCUAGUGUAGCGGUGAAAUGCGUAGAUAUUAGGAGGAACACCAGUGGCGAAGGCGACUUACUGGACUGUAACUGACUCUGAGGCACGAAAGCGUGGGGAGCAAACAG